AAAAUAUAUGUUUUUAUUAGUUUUUUUAGUUAUUUUGGUGAUACAGUUAACAAGACAUAACGGACAGAAAACCCCCCCAACACCAAAUAAAGAAAAAAAAAAAUCAAACAAAUAAACAAACAGCAACAACAAAGAUAAUGACAAACAACAACAAUGACAACAUCAUC
Molecule: long non-coding RNA, 167 nt
Organism: Sphaeramia orbicularis (orbiculate cardinalfish)
Lineage: Eukaryota; Metazoa; Chordata; Actinopteri; Kurtiformes; Apogonidae
Exons: 3
Source: RefSeq, a predicted model, not a curated record